GGAGUUAGCCGGUGCUUCUUCUGCGAGUAACGUCACAGCUAGCAGGUAUUAACUACUAACCUUUCCUCCUCGCUGAAAGUGCUUUACAACCCGAAGGCCUUCUUCACACACGCGGCAUGGCUGCAUCAGGGUUUCCCCCAUUGUGCAAUAUUCCCCACUGCUGCCUCCCGUAGGAGUCUGGGCCGUGUCUCAGUCCCAGUGUGGCUGAUCAUCCUCUCAGACCAGCUAGGGAUCGUUGCCUAGGUGAGCCAUUACCUCACCUACUAGCUAAUCCCACCUGGGCUUAUCCAUCAGUGCAAGGACCGAAGUUCCCCUGCUUUCCCCCGUAGGGCGUAUGCGGUAUUAGCAGUCGUUUCCAACUGUUAUCCCCCACAAAUGGGCAAAUUCCCAGGCAUUACUCACCCGUCCGCCGCUCGUCAUCUUCAAAAGCAAGCUUUUGAAAUGUUACCGCUCGACUUGCAUGUGUUAGGCCUGCCGCCAGCGUUCAAUCUGAGCCAGAAUCAAACUCUGA
This 511-nucleotide ribosomal RNA is filed under the name uncultured bacterium. RNAcentral describes it as "partial 16S ribosomal RNA". The record is from RNAcentral.